This 314-nucleotide long non-coding RNA is filed under the name Marmota monax (woodchuck). Lineage: Eukaryota; Metazoa; Chordata; Mammalia; Rodentia; Sciuridae. The record is from RNAcentral.
CUUGACAUUUGUGACUCUUUACCUAUUUAAUUGAAGGACCCCAAGGCCCCAGGCCCAACAUUAGGAAAACUAACCCCUGUGCCCUGAAGCUGCAAGAUGUUCCAUAUAGAUAACCCCGGAAGGGCCAAACUUGAGCAAACAGGGUAAAAACAGGAACUAAAAGGACAGGAUGCAAUUUUAUGGUUUUUCUGAGAACUAAAGUGGAAAAACAAGUUUACCCCCCUAGGUGACUCAACUGCUGAAUUCAGAGGGACCAAUAGGAAGGCUGUUGCUGUGCUAAGCUAAGACCUAACCCACCUGUUCCCUAUAAAAGA